Molecule: non-coding RNA, 453 nt
Organism: Peromyscus leucopus (white-footed mouse)
Lineage: Eukaryota; Metazoa; Chordata; Mammalia; Rodentia; Cricetidae
Source: the annotation of a RefSeq genome assembly
GAAGGUCUUUCUUGGACUGUGUCAUGACACACACAGAGACACAGGGAAAGUAAGAAGAUGGUGUCCACAUCUCAGCUGCUUGGGCUUCUGUUCUUCUGGGUUUCAGCCUCCAGAGGUGACAUUGUGCUGACUCAGUCUCCAGCCACCCUGUCUGUGACUCCAGGAGAAAGAGUCACCAUGGCCUGCAAGGCCAGCCAGGGUAUUAGCACAAACUUACACUGGUAUCAGCAAAAACCAAAUGAGGCUCCAAGGCUUCUCAUCAAGUAUGCUUCCCAGUCAGUCUCCGGGAUCCCCUCCAGGUUCAGUGGCAGUGGGUCAGGGACAGAUUUCACCCUCAGCAUCAACACUGUGGAGCCUGAAGAUGUUGCAACUUAUUACUGUCAACAAGGCUACAACAGGCCUCCCACAGUGAUACAGACCAUAGCAAAAACCACCAGAGAAGCAGAAGUGUGA